RNAcentral lists this ribosomal RNA (257 nucleotides) under uncultured bacterium. Its description in RNAcentral is "partial 16S ribosomal RNA". It matches the Rfam family "Bacterial small subunit ribosomal RNA", at positions 521 to 776 of the family's 1533-position model. The record is from RNAcentral.
UAAUACGUAGGGGGCGAGCGUUGUCCGGAUUUAUUGGGCGUAAAGAGCUCGUAGGCCGUUCGGUAAGUCAGAUGUGAAAACUCCAGGCUCAACUUGGAGACGCCAUCUGAUACUGCCGUGACUUGAGUCCGGUAGGGGAGCACGGAAUUCCUGGUGUAGCGGUGAAAUGCGCAGAUAUCAGGAGGAACACCAGCGGCGAAGGCGGUGCUCUGGGCCGGUACUGACGCUGAGGAGCGAAAGCGUGGGGAGCGAACAGG